AACGAACGCUGGCGGCAUGCCUAACACAUGCAAGUCGAACGAAGGCUUCGGCCUUAGUGGCGCACGGGUGAGUAACGCGUGGGAAACUGCCUAUUGGUGUGGAAUAACGACGGGAAACUGUCGCUAAUACCGCAUCAGCCCUUCGGGGGGAAGAUUUAUCGCCGAUAGAUGUGACCGCGUCCGAUUAGGUAGUUGGGGAGGUAAUGGCUCACCAAGGCGACGAUCGGUAGCUCGUCUGAGAGGAUGAGCAGCCACACUGGGACUGGGACACGGACCAGACUCCUACGGGAGGCAGCAGUGGGGAAUAUUGGACAAUGGGCGAAAGCCUGAUCCAGCAAUGCCGAGUGAGUGAUGAAGGCCUUAGGGUUGUAAAGCUCUUUCGGGUGGGACGAUGAUGUCGGUACCACCAGAAGAAGCCCCGGCUAACUUCGUGCCAGCCGCCGCAGUAA
This 449-nucleotide ribosomal RNA is filed under the name uncultured bacterium. RNAcentral describes it as "partial 16S ribosomal RNA". It matches the Rfam family "Bacterial small subunit ribosomal RNA", at positions 29 to 523 of the family's 1533-position model. The record is from RNAcentral.